AGGCAGGGCCUCUGCAAGUGAGAUGCAGAUCCAGCCUGUUGGCCACUUAGCACUUGCUUGGCCGCCUGCAGAUCACCUGACCUCUGCUCACCUGUAAAUGGGGGUUGCAGCAGCACUUACCUUCUGGGACUCCUGCAGCUUGAAGGGGCAGCACACACCACAUGCUGAGAAGGCGCCUAACUCAGGCAAGCUUCUCCAACAGCACCACAUCAGAUUAACAUCCAACCUGUACAGGACAUCAAAUCUCCCCAUCCCUCAUUCCAAUGGAAGAAAAGGGAGUCUCUGUCCUAGGGGAGCAAGCACAGGCCUAUCUAUGCAGUUGGCAGUUGGCACUUGACCCAGGUUGGGGAAAGGCCCUUGGAUACAUGCUGGUUUCACCAACCAUCUGUGGGUUGGGUUUGGCCUGGACCCAUGUACCCCAGGAGGCCAGCAGCCCCCUGCAUGGGACAGGACUGGGAGGUGUGUGGGAGGGCUGAGCUUUGAGGGAAGCCAUUAUUUGGCCUCAUGGGAAGUGGUGCAGGUGGUUGUUGGUGGCUCAGUUUUGCAGGGCCUGGGUGAUCACCCAAGGAGUGAAAAUUGCCUUUUUAUGAGAAAUUGCCAAAACUGAUGCAAGCUCAUCCGUUGAAAAGAAAUAUCGUUUGACUUCUGUUUUGCUGACAAGAAAUAUGGUCCUGAGCAAGGCUCCCUGGGACAAUGACCUCACACAUGGAAAACGCUGGAGCCCAUCUGUCUCCAAUCUGCUGUUUUCCAAAAAUUAGGGAACUUCAGUUUUCCCUUUGAUACUCUGUAUUUCUACCAACCACAACGCCAGGGCUGUCCUGCUUCUACAAGUGACAAUGACAAAUAUAGGCCUGAAGGAAGAUGAGCUGAUGGCAUUCCCAGCUUACUACCACUCCUUGGGUGCCUUAUCUCACAUACGUGGAUUCAACUCAUAGACUCAGCCAUGAGAUGACACAGCCAGAAGGCCCUCACGAGAUGCAGACCCCUCAUCCUUGGAUUUCCUAGCCUCCAGAACUCUAAGA
This 1022-nucleotide long non-coding RNA is filed under the name Homo sapiens (human). RNAcentral describes it as "HSALNT0000230". Lineage: Eukaryota; Metazoa; Chordata; Mammalia; Primates; Hominidae. The record is from RNAcentral.